AAAUUGAAGAGUUUGAUCAUGGCUCAGAUUGAACGCUGGCGGCAGGCCUAACACAUGCAAGUCGAACGGUAACAGGGAAACAG
This 83-nucleotide ribosomal RNA is filed under the name Escherichia coli. RNAcentral describes it as "partial 16S ribosomal RNA". It matches the Rfam family "Bacterial small subunit ribosomal RNA", at positions 1 to 82 of the family's 1533-position model. The record is from RNAcentral. Lineage: Bacteria; Pseudomonadati; Pseudomonadota; Gammaproteobacteria; Enterobacterales; Enterobacteriaceae.